This 309-nucleotide ribosomal RNA is filed under the name Triticum aestivum (bread wheat). RNAcentral's name for it is "partial small subunit ribosomal RNA". Lineage: Eukaryota; Viridiplantae; Streptophyta; Magnoliopsida; Poales; Poaceae. The record is from RNAcentral.
AUGAAGGGCCUCAUAGUUCGGCUGUGGCCUAAGGAGGCGAUGCCUGGGAGCUACUUCGGUCUGGUGCAGUGGCUGGUGGACGCCUGUCCAUGGAUUGAAGUCAUCAAGCACUCCGCCUGCAUUGAGGGUGCCUGUCGGGCCCUUGCCCGUGCUAAAGUGCAGUGGGGCAAGAUGGACGCUGAGAAGCUUGUGACGGACCCGCCACCGCCGGGCAAGGAGUAUCGCACGCCCGAGAUGUAUUAUAAGGGCAUCCUGAAGGGUGCCUGCAUUAUAGCGGAUGAGUGCUCCAAAGAUGUAAUUUUUGAGUAG